Molecule: ribosomal RNA, 449 nt
Filed under: uncultured bacterium
Lineage: Bacteria
Description: partial 16S ribosomal RNA
Rfam family: Bacterial small subunit ribosomal RNA
Source: RNAcentral
GUGGGGAAUUUUGGACAAUGGGCGCAAGCCUGAUCCAGCAAUGCCGCGUGCAGGAAGAAGGCCUUCGGGUUGUAAACUGCUUUUGUACGGAACGAAACGGUCCGGGUUAAUACCCUGGGCUAAUGACGGUACCGUAAGAAUAAGCACCGGCUAACUACGUGCCAGCAGCCGCGGUAAUACGUAGGGUGCAAGCGUUAAUCGGAAUUACUGGGCGUAAAGCGUGCGCAGGCGGUUUUGUAAGACAGGCGUGAAAUCCCCGGGCUCAACCUGGGAAUUGCGCUUGUGACUGCAAGGCUGGAGUGCGGCGGAGGGGAUGGAAUUCCGCGUGUAGCAGUGAAAUGCGUAGAUAUGCGGAGGAACACCGAUGGCGAAGGCAAUCCCCUGGGCCUGCACUGACGCUCAUGCACGAAAGCGUGGGGAGCAAACAGGAUUAGAAACCCUGGUAGUCC